GUGAUGUCUGCUCUGAGGCUCAGCAGAGUCACACGAGAGCUCAAUGUCCCCUGACACUUGACAUGAAUAAUUCACAGCUUUGCGAUGGCGGCGCCUUUUGGCCCUGGUUUGGCAGACGUCCCUCGUGUCUGAGCGUCCAAUCCUUGGGAAUUGUUGGGGGUCCUAGAUUCUCACCCCUCUGGAGCUCUCUAGCGCCUCCCACAGGAGGCUUGUCCAGAUUCAUCAGGAUGUGGGUGGACCCUCCCCCUUUCCUUUACUCUUAUUUCACAUAUAAUUUGGUAGUUUCGAUUGCCUGUACUGUAGCCAGUAAACUCCCUGCAGUCAAGGACAGUUUAUAUUUGUCUUUUCUAUUUGUCCGUAUUUGCCAAGGCUUAGCCCAGUGUGUGGCACAUAGUAGGAAUUUUGUAAAGAAAAUCAUUAUUUGAAGAAUUUGAAUUAUUUUAAAUUAAUUCAUUGAAGAAAUGAAAAAUGGAGAGUGGACGUGGAUGGAAAGACUGGGUCUCAGCGGAAGAGAAUGGAAGGGAUGGACAUGAAAAGGAAGGUCUAUGAUGGAUAUUGGUGAAAAGACUGGAUCUCAGUGGAAGAGAGUGGAAGGGAUGGACAUGGAAAAGAAGGUCUGUGAUGGAUGUGGGUGAAAAGACUGGAUCUCAGUGGAAGAGAAUGGAAGGGAUGGACAUGGAAAGGAAAGUCUGUGAUGGAUGUGGAUGAAAAGACUGGAGCUCAGUGGAAGAGUGGAAGGAAUGGACAUGGAAAGGAAGGUCUGUGGAGGAUGUGGAUGAAAAGACUGGAGCUCAGUGGAAGAGAAUGGAAGGGAUGGACAGGGAAAGGAAGGUCUGUGAUGGAUGUGGGUGAAAAGACUGGAGCUCAGUGGAAGAGAGUGGAAGGGAUGGACAUGGAAAGGAAGGUCUGUGGAGGAUGUGGAUGAAAAGACUGGCUCUCGGUGAAAGAGAAUGGAAGGGAUGGACAUGGAAAGGAAGGUCUGUGGAGGAUGUGGAUGAAAAGACUGGAGCUCAGUGGAAGAGAAUGGAAGGGAUGGACAUGGAAAGGAAGGUCUGUGGAGGAUGUGGAUGAAAAGACUGGAGCUCAGUGGAAGAGAAUGGAAGGGAUGGACAGGGAAAGGAAGGUCUGUGAUGGAUGUGGGUGAAAAGACUGGAGCUCAGUGGAAGAGAGUGGAAGGGAUGGACAUGGAAAGGAAGGUCUGUGGAGGAUGUGGAUGAAAAGACUGGCUCUCGGUGAAAGAGAAUGGAAGGGAUGGACAUGGAAAGGAAGGUCUGUGGAGGAUGUGGAUGAAAAGACUGGAGCUCAGUGGAAGAGAAUGGAAGGGAUGGACAUGGAAAGGAAGGUCUGCGAUGGAUGUGGGUGAAAAGACUGGAUCUCAGUGGAAGAGAAUGGAAGGGAUGGACAUGGAAAGGUCUGUGAUGAUAGAAGGAAAAUGUCUUCAUUUGAGGGGAUAGAAAACAGACCUAAGACAUUUCCCAGAAGACAUGUUCUGAAUCCUGGGACCUUUCCCUAAGGCUGGCCUCCCGCCCCUGGGUCUCCUGGGAUGCCUCCGUGUGUUGGUGACACCACGUGUGUGUUGGGAA
Long non-coding RNA from Antechinus flavipes (yellow-footed antechinus), 1583 nucleotides. RefSeq lists it as uncharacterized. The transcript has 3 exons. NCBI's taxonomy places the organism in Eukaryota, Metazoa, Chordata, Mammalia, Dasyuromorphia, Dasyuridae. The record is from RefSeq and is a predicted model, not a curated record.